GUAACACACAAUAGCUGCAGUACGAGGUAAUAUCAUUUAAUUGUCAAUAAUAAUAAUAAUAAUAACCGAAAUUCAAACUAUAUAGUAUAUGCAUGUCAUAUCAAAUUUAAUUAAUUCUAAUUAUGCUAUUGUUGUUACACAACGCAUUACUUGAGGGUCCGUCGCAUAUCAACAAUGCAGAAGCGAGGAAAUAUCCUAUCCAUGUGAAAAGGACAAUACGUAUAGCCCCAAAGAGGACAUCAUUACAUACCAUUGCAUCGCAAACAUCCAAGUUAGUCAUUAAUGAUACACACACAGCAGCUUAAAAGUGUUGUUAAAAUCACUAGGUAUCAAGAUUGUCACAAAUUAGGAUACUAGGACACAAGCCUAGCUGCGGAGAAAGUAUUAUUUAUCCAAAUUUGAUAUAUUUAGUGAUGAGACGACAAUAGAUGAAGUGCCACCAAUUAACUCAGAAGGAUUUCAACUGAGUGUUGACAUAUAAAUGUAAACAAAGGAAAAUCACAUACCCAGGACACCAUAUGCACUGAUGGUGUAAUAUAAAAGUCCACAUUUAUCGAUGAUCACUUGCAAGAUAGCUAUUUUAUCCUGUGUAGUAUACAAUAGAUGUAUCUUCAGGAAUAUUAACUUUGAACAACAAUAAGUGAUGCAGCAGCACAUGGGAUCCCAACAAAUUAACUAAAAACGUACAAGAUUGAGGCACUGAGGUACAAUUAUAAGGAAAUAUAACACCACCAGCUCUCCACACAUAUCAAUAACGUCAUCAGGAUGGUAAUAUAUUGUCUCACGUGGACCACCAGCAGUUUCCAGGAGGCUUCAUACACCACAGUCCCUCCGAGGAAGACCAGACUGAUGAGGCCGUGUUGCAGCGUCAAAGGGAUGAUAUAUCCACUAAAUUAUAUAUCACUAUUUUAUAAUUAAU
Molecule: non-coding RNA, 919 nt
Organism: Nylanderia fulva
Lineage: Eukaryota; Metazoa; Arthropoda; Insecta; Hymenoptera; Formicidae
Source: RefSeq, a predicted model, not a curated record